Molecule: ribosomal RNA, 472 nt
Filed under: uncultured Methanolinea sp.
Lineage: Archaea; Methanobacteriati; Methanobacteriota; Methanomicrobia; Methanomicrobiales; Methanoregulaceae
Description: bacterial SSU rRNA
Rfam family: Archaeal small subunit ribosomal RNA
Source: RNAcentral
UUGACGGGGAGCACACAACAGGUGGAGCCUGCGGUUUAAUCGGACUCAACGCCGGGAAACUCACCAGAUAAGACAGCUGAAUGAUAGUCGGGCUGAAGACUCUACUUGACUAGCUGAGAGGAGGUGCAUGGCCGUCGUCAGUUCGUACUGUGAAGCAUCCUGUUAAGUCAGGCAACGAGCGAGACCCACGCCCACAGUUGCCAGCGUACUCUCUGGAGUGACGGGUACACUGUGGGGACCGCCGCUGCUAAAGCGGAGGAAGGAAUGGGCAACGGUAGGUCAGUAUGCCCCGAAUAUCCCGGGCUACACGCGAGCUACAAUGGUUGGUACAAUGGGUAUCUACCCCGAAAGGGGACGGGAAUCUCCUAAAACCAAUCUUAGUUCGGAUUGAGGGCUGCAACUCGCCCUCAUGAAGCUGGAAUCCGUAGUAAUCGCGUUUCAACAGAACGCGGUGAAUACGUCCCUGCUCCUU